Molecule: unclassified non-coding RNA, 109 nt
Organism: Cavia aperea (Brazilian guinea pig)
Lineage: Eukaryota; Metazoa; Chordata; Mammalia; Rodentia; Caviidae
Source: Ensembl
AUUACAGCCAAGUCUAUCUAAAAAUUUUAGAACAUUAAUUUUUCUCCUUUUUAAUAUUAUUUAAUGAGAACACUUAAAACUUUUUCCAUGAAGGGAAAGUAAUAUCCAC